UCCAGAUGUAAUGUCCAGAAGUUGAAGAAAAAUCUAGAAGAUGCCACAUAAAACAGCACAGAAGUCGAAGACAUGACAAAAAAAAUAUCCUAUAUGAUACCAGGAACAUUCGCAAUAAGACAGGGAGAGAUGCUGGAAGAAAAAGGAAAAAGGAGAAGUGAAAUCUAUCUCUGAGCUGACAAAGCCAGAAAAAAGAAGCAAGAGAAGGCAAUGGAAAUGCAACCAACGGAAUAGAAGACAGGCUUGAAAGAGAGCAGUUGCAAUGGAGACCUACCUAUCAGGCAGACAACACAACACCUCAGUCACCACAUGACUUGCAGCCAGAACAUGAGGCCAACAUACCUGCCCCUGAUGCACACCCUGAUACCCCUUCCUCAUCGUCUGCAACAGGAAUGAGAAGUCAAAUACUUGCUGGAAGUAAAAAGGUUGGAAGGGGUCGUUCAAAAACAUACACAGAUCUUUGAAUGACAAUGUCAAACUUGAUAAUGCCUUACAGAAAGCUGAGAAAAACUGAUGAAGAAAAUGGGGAGAAAGAUUCCCCAAAGACAAGAAGAAGGGGAACUGAAAGGAACUCCAAAGAACUUAAGAAGGAUUUUAUUUUAUUGUUUCAAAAUGCCAUCAUUGCAGAGUUAAAGCAAAAAUAUCAAAAAAUGUGCAUUGCCAAGGACAAACAACUGGCUUAAAAAAUGCUUAGAGGCAACAUCCUGAGAAAAUAUGUCCUGGUCAAAGCUGCAAACGGAUCAUUUGAAUUUUCAGCAAAAGCAAUGAGGGCAAAUGAAAACAGGUCAACAAGUCUUCAAUACUCCAGGAAAAAGCAGUGUAACAUAAUUAGCACAGCCACAGAAGAGAAAAUCACUUGAUUUUAUGAACGUGAUGACAACAGUAGAGCAACAAAAGGGGAAAAGGACACACUAGGAAGAAAAAAAAGAAAAAGCAGAAGCGCUUCUUUAAUGGCAGAAUUCAGAACCUUUUCCUACUAUGCAUUCUGCAAAAUACGUCCUUUUUGGGUUGUCAAGCUAAUAGUCCAGGAUAGGGACACAUGCCUCUGCAAAACCUACGCCAACCUCCAGUUCAUGGUGGACAAACUACAGUAUCACAGCAGUCGGGUGUUAUAUAUCUCAAAGGCGAUAAAGAGCAUGGAGGCCCUCCCACCAGAUCACCUGGAGACAAUCUGUAGGACAAUGAAGAUACACCAGAUCGUCAGCGACAGUCCAGAGGAUACUCAGUUGCUUCUGUUCCUUUCCACAUCACUGCACUCCACAGACUGUGACUCUGUUUGAAGAAAUAGAGGCAGACCAAGAUGGAAAAUCCAACACAUCUCACAGCGCCUUCCAGCCCGUUGAAGAUCUAAGUGAAGCAUUGAUUGGAAAGUGGUGUGGGGUGGAGUGUGAUCAGGACGUUUACCCUGGCAUCGUGCAAGACGUUCACACAGAGAGUGGUGCUCUUGUUAAAAUCAUGAGUCGCGUUGGCCCCAACCGUUUUUUGGGGGGCCGAUGAGUGACAACAUCAUAUGGUACAGACCACAGCAUGUGCUUGGACUUGUCCCUGAACCCGACCUCGUGACCAAGAGGUACAUGGAGCUGGAUGGUUGGUCUGAGAGGAAUGUGGCCCUAUUUCUAAGCCUUAGAUACUCAUAUACAGUACAAAGCAGGACAUAAAAUCAUGCAUUAAAUAAAACAUGUGCAGCUCUCAAUUAACUUUUCCCUCAAUAUAUAGGUGCUGGAAGUUCUAGUUGUUGCAUCUAAGUGUAGUCAAAGACCAAACAUUGUUCUUAUGUUAAAAAGGUGCUAGUUCCAGUGUUUUAGAAUCUUACUUUGUCUUUUAUUAUUUAAAUGUUUAAACAAUGGUUGUGGUUCAAAAUGUUAGCAAUAAAAUAUUGU
Molecule: long non-coding RNA, 1880 nt
Organism: Oncorhynchus gorbuscha (pink salmon)
Lineage: Eukaryota; Metazoa; Chordata; Actinopteri; Salmoniformes; Salmonidae
Exons: 3
Source: RefSeq, a predicted model, not a curated record